AUGGACUCCCUCAUGCCGCCGCCGGCGCCGCAACCGUGGAACACCGAAGAUGAUUGUUUGCCACCAAAUAAUGCGUUGUGUAGGCAUGAUGAAGGGCAGCAUGUCCAGAAUUGUGAUUGGAUCAGCACAAUGCCAGAUGAUAUUUUAAUUGAAAUUCUUUCCCUAAUGACAAUAAGUGAGGCAGCAAUGACUGGUUUCCUUUCCACCAGAUGGAGGCAUGUCUGGAAAAAAAUUGACCAUCUCAUCCUUGAUUCCUACGCUUUUGGGAUGCAAGAGUUAGAAAAGUCACGUAACCAUGAAAAUCCUCUUUUGUGGAAUGAUGUAGCUACAAAGUUUGUUAACAAAGUAAAUGGGCUUUUGCACAGUCGUUAUGCCUCUACAGAAAAGCUCUUCCUUGACCUGGAUAACAAGUGUUGCAAGGAAGGUUGUAUGAUUUGUGCGAAAGGUGUGAAUGCUGCUUCAGAGCCAUAUGAAUUCCUCUUGGGGCAUUUUUUUAUGGUAGAGCCUGCUCGUUGGACGAAUUGA
This 525-nucleotide ribosomal RNA is filed under the name Triticum aestivum (bread wheat). Its description in RNAcentral is "partial small subunit ribosomal RNA". Lineage: Eukaryota; Viridiplantae; Streptophyta; Magnoliopsida; Poales; Poaceae. The record is from RNAcentral.